Molecule: ribosomal RNA, 397 nt
Filed under: uncultured bacterium
Lineage: Bacteria
Description: partial 16S ribosomal RNA
Rfam family: Bacterial small subunit ribosomal RNA
Source: RNAcentral
AUACGUAGGGGGCGAGCGUUGUCCGGAAUGAUUGGGCGUAAAGGGCGCGUAGGCGGCCCGGUAAGUCUGGAGUGAAAGUCCUGUUUUUAAGAUGGGAAUUGCUUUGGAUACUGUCGGGCUUGAGUGCAGGAGAGGUAAGUGGAAUUCCCAGUGUAGCGGUGAAAUGCGUAGAGAUUGGGAGGAACACCAGUGGCGAAGGCGACUUACGGGACUGCAACUGACGCUGAGGCGCGAAAGUGUGGGGAGCAAACAGGAUUAGAUACCCUGGUAGUCCACACUGUAAACGAUGAAUGCUAGGUGUAGGGGGUAUCGACCCCUUCUGUGCCGCAGUCAACACAAUAAGCAUUCCGCCUGGGGAGUACGGCCGCAAGGUUGAAACUCAAAGGAAUUGACGGGU